Molecule: ribosomal RNA, 182 nt
Filed under: uncultured bacterium
Lineage: Bacteria
Description: partial 16S ribosomal RNA
Rfam family: Bacterial small subunit ribosomal RNA
Source: RNAcentral
CAUGAAGCUGGAAUCGCUAGUAAUCGCGGAUCAGAAUGCCGCGGUGAAUACGUUCCCGGGUCUUGUACACACCGCCCGUCACACCAUGGGAGUCAGUAACGCCCGAAGCCGGUGACCCAACCAAACGGAGGGAGCCGUCGAAGGUGGGACCGAUAACUGGGGUGAAGUCGUAACAAGGUACC